AAUUACUCCCAAAACUAUGAGUAAUAUCCAUCGUGCAUGUGGACAGAAAAAUUUAUGUAAUUAUGAUCAAGAAAGAAUUAUUGAAAGAACAUAGAUCGUAAAGAGAAUGGAGAACUGUAUCUUAUUCAUUGAUAUAAGAGUCUUUAUAUAGGGAUUACAUAACAGUGAUAACACCGUAUGGUGUUCUACAAGGAAACAUAUUUUUAAUAUCAUAUCUCUAUACGGAAUCAAGAUUCCUUAUAUAACUAGCAUAGACCAAGGCACACACAUUUAGAAUAUUCCUACAACAUGUUAUCUUAUAUAUUGCAGUGUUGCACGCAUAUACGUGAAAAC
Molecule: long non-coding RNA, 333 nt
Filed under: Fragaria vesca (wild strawberry)
Lineage: Eukaryota; Viridiplantae; Streptophyta; Magnoliopsida; Rosales; Rosaceae
Description: long non-coding RNA (FVES_LNC004683)
Source: RNAcentral